AUGUGCCGUGUAGCAGGGCACUGGCUGCAUGUACAGCUCUGACACAGGAAGGGGCAGCCCUGGCUACUGGGUCCAGUCUCUUUGUAUGGUAGGACUUUGGGGUCCUUCAGGGUCACAGUGACUGGUGGGACAUUGAGGCAUCCGAUAUCCUGGGGUCCUCUGGCCCAGAGAGUAUCGGUGAUGAGGUGCAAAAUGGUUUGCAGCGAAUCCCCUUGCUCAUAUGAAUCAGUGCAGAAUUUUAUUGUCAGACAUCCGGCAGCUGUGGGUGUCACAUAAUUUGAG
This is a long non-coding RNA of Bufo bufo (common toad), 282 nucleotides long. RefSeq lists it as uncharacterized. The transcript is spliced from 3 exons. Lineage: Eukaryota; Metazoa; Chordata; Amphibia; Anura; Bufonidae. The record is from RefSeq and is a predicted model, not a curated record.